GAUCCUGGCUCAGGAUGAACGCUAGCUACAGGCUUAACACAUGCAAGUCGAGGGGAAACGACAUCGAAGCUUGCUUUUGAUGGGCGUCGACCGGCGCACGGGUGAGUAACGCGUAUCCAACCUGCCCACACUUGGGGAUAACCUUGCGAAAGUAAGACUAAUACCCAAUGACGUCUCUAGAAGACAUCUGAAAGGGAUUAAAGAUUUAUCGGUGAUGGAUGGGGAUGCGUCUGAUUAGCUUGUUGGCGGGGUAACGGCCCACCAAGGCAACGAUCAGUAGGGGGUUCUGAGAGGAAGGUCCCCCACAUUGGAACUGAGACACGGUCCAAACUCCUACGGGAGGCAGCAGUGAGGAAUAUUGGUCAAUGGGCGAGAGCCUGAACCAGCCAAGUAGCGUGCAGGAUGACGGCCCUAUGGGUUGUAAACUGCUUUUAUAAGGGAAUAAAGUGAGAGUCGUGACUCUUUUUGCAUGUACCUUAUGAAUAAGGACCGGCUAAUUCCGUG
RNAcentral lists this ribosomal RNA (504 nucleotides) under uncultured bacterium. RNAcentral describes it as "bacterial SSU rRNA". It matches the Rfam family "Bacterial small subunit ribosomal RNA", at positions 15 to 507 of the family's 1533-position model. The record is from RNAcentral.